RNAcentral lists this ribosomal RNA (261 nucleotides) under uncultured bacterium. RNAcentral describes it as "partial 16S ribosomal RNA". It matches the Rfam family "Bacterial small subunit ribosomal RNA", at positions 793 to 1055 of the family's 1533-position model. The record is from RNAcentral.
GUCCACGCCUUAAACGAUGGAUGUUCGGUGUCGGUCCGCAAGGAUCGGUGCCUGAGCUAACGCGUUAAACAUCCCACCUGGGGAGUACGAUCGCAAGGUUGAAACUCAAAGGAAUUGACGGGGGCCCGCACAAGCAGUGGAGAAUGUGGUUCAAUUCGAUGCAACGCGAAGAACCUUACCUGGGUUUGAAAGGCAAGUGACCGGCGAUGAAAGUCGCUCUCGUAGCAAUACGCACUUGUACAGGUGCUGCAUGGCUGUCGU